This 158-nucleotide unclassified non-coding RNA is filed under the name uncultured Beauveria. Its description in RNAcentral is "sequence contains ITS1". The record is from RNAcentral. Lineage: Eukaryota; Fungi; Ascomycota; Sordariomycetes; Hypocreales; Cordycipitaceae.
CUGAGUUACAAACUCCAAACCAUUGUGAACCUAUACCGAUGUUGCUUCGGCGUGCCGUCCCGGGCGCGGCUCAGGCCGUGACCCGGACCCAGGCGGCCGCCGGGGACCCAAACCUCUGUUUUUAUAGUGGACUUCUGAGUGGCAUAAGCAAAUAAUCA